AACGCACCUUGCGCCCUUUGGUAUUCCGAAGGGCAUGCCUGUUUGAGUGUCAUUAAAUUAUCAACCUUGUUGCUUUGCUUGCGAAGCAAUCUAGGCUUGGACGUGGGGGUUUUUGCUGGCUUCCUUCAGUGGAUGGUCUGCUCCCCUUAAAUUCAUUAGUGGGAUCUCUUGUGGACCGUCACUUGGUGUGAUAAUUAUCUAUACCACUUGGCUUUGAAGCAAAUCUUAUGAGGACCUGCUUAUAACCGUCUCUUUGCUGGGACAACUUUUGACAUUUUGACCUCAAAUCAGGUAGGACUACCCGCUGAACUUAA
This 314-nucleotide unclassified non-coding RNA is filed under the name Parvacoccum sp. RNAcentral describes it as "partial contains 5.8S ribosomal RNA, internal transcribed spacer 2, and large subunit ribosomal RNA". The stretch from base 1 to 52 matches the Rfam family "5.8S ribosomal RNA", at positions 103 to 154 of the family's 154-position model. Lineage: Eukaryota; Fungi; Ascomycota; Leotiomycetes; Rhytismatales; Rhytismataceae. The record is from RNAcentral.